Molecule: long non-coding RNA, 814 nt
Filed under: Homo sapiens (human)
Lineage: Eukaryota; Metazoa; Chordata; Mammalia; Primates; Hominidae
Description: HSALNT0383151
Source: RNAcentral
UGGCCGGAGAGGCAGCAGCACCCCGAGCUGUCAGGCGUUCCGCCGCGGCCGCGAGGCGGGCCGCGCGCGUCGGCGUCACAGCCCGCGGCAGAGGCGCCCAGGGCGGCCGGGCCCACGACGCCGAAAGCGCCGCUGCGGUUGCCGCCUCGGAGGCUCCCCCGGGCCCCGGCGGCUGGACCCGGCGCGGGCGGGAGGCUCGGGCGGGCGGUCCGGCCCGGGACUCGGGUUUGGGCGACCAGGAGGUGCCGGUGGCCGCGCUCGGACCCGGUGACUUAAGAGAUUAAAAUUAAUUUGGUUGCUGUUGGUUCUGAACAAAUAAUGAGUUCUUUUAUUUGAGGUAUGCCAUUUUGAAGACUGAGACGUUGGAGUUUUAUCCUAGAGGAUAAAGGAAAUCUUUGGGAAAGUCAGUAUUUUAUAUAGCAAAAAUAUGAACCUCAAACUGAAUCCUCUAAAGGCCCCAUACAAUGAAGUAGACAUUGGUGGAAACAUUUACACCCAGUCAGCUUGAAGAGUUUCAAAUGGACCCUACCACUGAGAAAUCAAGAUGGCAGUCUACUAUGGGGAAUUGAGGAAAAAUGGAUUAAUACAAGAGUCCUGUGAUAAUAUACAACCAAGACAGGGUUCUUUUAACAUGGAUUCCAUGCAGUGAAUGAAGACAUAGGUUUCUUACCCAACACAAAUGGACAGUGGAUUUGACUUUCUAAAGACUUUUUUUGUGGACAUUUUGACAUUUGGAGAAGAAAGAUGGCACACUAACCCAGAUAAUAGUUUUUAUGCCUGGAAUUUUUUGCAGUUUGAUUUGUAUGCGUAUGAC